GAGGGUGAAGUAUUUGAUAAGUACAUCUCAGUUACAUUGAGAAGGACCACUAUAUGGCACUCUUU
RNAcentral lists this transfer RNA (65 nucleotides) under Aplysia argus. RNAcentral describes it as "tRNA-Val". The record is from RNAcentral. Lineage: Eukaryota; Metazoa; Mollusca; Gastropoda; Aplysiida; Aplysiidae.